UGUCACCCAACUCUAUGUCAUCCAAGUGCUACCCGUUAUGUACAGGUUAUGUACGAGUGAGUACAUACAUCACUGAUAAUGGCGUGUCCCAUUUCAAUUAUUUUUUACUAAGUUUUAAACUAUAUUACGGUUGUCUUAUAAUUCAUUGGAGGCUGCCACCUUCUUUUCAAUGUAGAGUGCGUUUGGAAGGGUUUAUUUGGAUCUAUCUUAUGACAUAAAGGCUUAUGUAAGUAUUUGGAAGAGCCUAUACAAAUAGCUUACGAGCUUCACCAUAAGUUGUUUUCUGGUUUUUGUCAUUCAUUGAACACGUAAAACAGAGAGCAGAAAAAAAAUGAGGCAAGAAAAAGAGAACAGAGAGUCAGAACAAAGAAAGAAAAAGAAAUCUUAGAAAGACAAACUUAACACAGGAAGAGAUUCAGAAGAUAGAAAGAAAAAUAUUUAUUUUUUAAUUUUUUUAUAUAUAUCCUCGUUUGCUAUUCAAAAAACGGAAGAGAAAACAUAGAAAGGAAAAAUAGAACAGAUUCAGAACGAAGAAAGAAAAAGAAAACAUGGAAAACAGAGGAAGAGAAAACAGAUGAGAGAUGAUAGGACAUAGAAAGAAUGCGAGAUGGAACAAAACAAAGCCAUGAAACUUAACAGAGGAAGAGAAAAGAGAAAAACCUGAAUAGAGGAAGAUGAAAGGGUUAGGGUUAAUCGGCAACGGCGGCGGUUUGAUGGGCAGCUACGAUGGCUGAAGAGUUACGGAGAAGAGUUUUUGUGAUGAAAUAUUGUCAGGGUUUUCAAGUUUUGUGCAAUGGAACAGUUGGCUGAAGUGUGAGGAAAGGGAAAACGGUCAGGGUUAAUCCGGAAUCCCCAAAUUGUCCUCGAAAUGAAUUAAAAUUUAGGGUUUUUGUGUUUAAAACAAAAUGGCAGAUCAGAACCCGCUGCCCACCAUGCCGCUAUAGCACUUGGGGGGCCUCUAUUGCGAACUGCUGUAGUCAUUCCUGGUGUGGCCCACGAUCGCUCCGCUUCACCGCUAUAGCGCACUAUUGACUACCUAGCUUAUAACUUAUAAUAACAGCUUAGACAGAGCUUAUGCAGAGUUAAAACCAUUAGUUAUUUGGUUCAUAUGGUUAGUGGGGAGCGUCUAAUGUGAACCUUAAUUUAAAGGAACCUUUAGUGGGCCUACGGCUACUUGCAAUAGCCGGUCGCUACUAUAUGGGUAUCAAUCUUGUGGGACCGGAUAGCAUUUUGUUAUAAAUUUCCCUCUCUAUUAAACUCCUCCAUAAAAACUCAAAUAUAGGGGCACUCUCUCUUUCUCAUUGUGCAGUUGAAAUGGUGUUAAGGAUUUGGUUUCUUUCAUAGUUUUUAUUGCUAAGUGAGAAAGCAACGAACCCUUAAACCUCCCUCUCUUUACCAGCUGUGGAUCGUUAAAAAAUUUCCGGAUAAUAGUUUUACCUUACUACCAUUUGCAGUUCUUGUACCAGUGAAAUGAAAAUUAAAGCUUCGAUCUUUCUUUCCUCUUUUGGAAAAUCUAACCUUUGAACUUCCACAAUAGUUAAUUACCAACACAAGUAUGACCGUAUGAGAUUACUCUUUUUAGGAAAGAGAUAUGUUGGGCAUUUAAUCUAAAUGAUUUAUGUUUCUCUUAUUUGAGAUUGUCAUGAGUCAUGACUGUUGUUGAUUAUAGAGAAAACAUAAGAAUAUUGCUUGAAAUGAGGAAAAAGCUUUGUUUAUAGUUUUUAAAUUGUUCAGAUCCAUUUGUGACUUGAAAAUAGCCAUUUAUGUAGCUAGAUGAUGGGUUUGAAAGGAAUAGAUUGUGUUCAAAUAUAGGUCAACAUUGCAGUGGUUCUAGAGGAGUUUUACCACGGGAGAGAGUACAUGUUUUAAAUAACUGCAAAUAUAAACUGAAUGCUAAUUGGUCCCACAAGAUUGAUACCCUUUAUAAUGGUGACCCACUAUACCAGGUAACUUAUUGAGGUCCACCAAUGGACCCUUUAAAUUGAGGUCCGGCUAGGUUUUUAGAACAGUGUAUUUUAUGUUGGUAAAAUAGAAUUGGUCCAUUAGUCUAAUUUCAGGGCAUCAUGUAAGUAUUUCCAUUGUAAACACCAGCUAUGCGUCCGUCUAUACAAUGAAUCUUCUUCCUUUCUUUUGGGAGGUAUAUACAAGUGCGAAUACAUUUCAUUAUACAAUGAAUCUUCUUCCUAUCUUUUGGGAGGUAUAUAUAAUAUACAAGUGUGAAUACAUUUACAUUCCAUAGGUCACAACAGUAAUAAUGUAAUAUUGGAAUAGGAUAAUCAUAAUGCUGCUCUAUAUGGAAAACUUCUUUUUUUUCGAAAAAUGGAAAACUUCUCCUUAGAAAGUGGUUUCGGCUUUGUCUCUCUGUUUUGGGUUUCGGCAAUGGCAGGGGUGUUGGCGUAUGGCACUGACGCUUUUGUUUGGUUUUGGGGCUGUUGUGGGGAGGUCUCGUGUUGGAAUUUGAAAGUUGGUUUUUUAUUGGCUUGUGUCGGAUGAGGUGCAGAUGUGGUGGAAGGUUGUGGUAGGGGCUGAUAUUGUUGUUGCUCAAUGGAUUCUAGUUAUGGGUUUUGUUUGAUUGUUGUUUGGAGAUCAUAUGGAUGUAGUGGCUUGCGGGUGUGGACAUAUUUUAGUGGUCUUUUAGUGUUUGAGGUUGGGGGUUGGGGCAAUUGUUAAUCUUCACGAGAGUUUGUGCGAUUUGGUUUGGUUGUUUUGUGUAAUUGUUUGGGUGUCAUUAAUAUGGCUUUUAUUUUGUGGUUUUGUACACGAACUUUGCUUUGUUCGUAUCACUUUUUUUGGGUGUUCCGCCUAUAUACGGCACUGUUGCUUUGUAACUCUUGUUUCACUUAUCUCUGUUCGUCUUGAACAAGGAUUUUCAAUAGAUUUAGCCUUUUAAAAACAAAAAAAAAAAAUUAUAGUACACUAUGGGUGGUCUUGUUGGAGAGUGACAUACAGCAAACCCCAUGGAAAGUGGCUAGGAUUUGGAACGUGAUUCUCUGCAGUUAUAUAAAUAACACAGUCACACUGUCAAUUAAAACACAGCCAACCGGUUUUUUUCUAUGGUUCAGAUUCACACUUCUAUGAUUUUCCACUGUAUGGCCAAACGUGCAGGAUAGUAAAAAUUGAAUUCCAUUCAAUCACGCCAAUUUAUCAAUUUCAAUCGAAAGUUCCAAAAUUCUAAUUCAUUUCAUUUCUGUUGUUCUUGCGUUCUGUUCCAAUUUGUUAAUUUCAAGGUGACAAUUUGUUAAUUUCAUGGAGGGUGGACGGGGAUUGGAAGGCUAACACCCGUGAGUUUCCCCCAUGCGUCAUCCUCGUAUAUGGACACAUCUGGUCUGAGCACCAUGACAGGUUGUCUCAACCACCACACAAUUCAUGAAACUAUUAACCUUCCAAACUCAUUGCAUGACCAAUAAAUUAACAAUCUGAAUCAGCCCAUCACAGUGGCACGGUUGUUGGCGGUGGUGGAUUAUAUGACCUCCGACAUAGUUGCAAUGUUUGAUGCGUCCCUAAUGUCGGUCUACUAAUGAAUCAUGUUUAAGAGGUUUAUUAAGAUGAUGAGAAAGGCAUCGUGCACAAGGAAAAGGGGAGAACUUUGAGAACAAUUCAAAUUUUCACAACCCUGAAGAUGCGUUUUGAUGGCGGCGUGAGUUUUCCCUUUCUACUAUCAUGGGUUAUGCUUAAAGUGGAAAAAGUAGAGAAGAUGAAUCUGCACCGUUUAUUUGAUCAGAUGGUUAUGUUUUGUUUGAAUGUGUGACUGUGUCAUUUUACUGACUGCAGUGAGUCACAGUCCCUAGGAUUUACAUUGAAAAUUGAAUUUGUUUUGCGAUAAUCUGGUGGCGUGUUGGUGUUGCUAUAGAAAUUUUAUUAGAUUCCCAUUUACCAUGGCAUCCAAUUAUGCUAAUUAAUGUUUGGUAUAAUGUUGUUAAUUGUGGAUUGCAAAAAACAGCAGUUCAUUCAAAUUCCGCUCUGCAACAGUGUUAUAGAGCCAUUCAAAUUCCACUUUGCAACAGUGUUAUAGAGCCUCUGUUUGACAACAUUCUCUCUAGAUAGUGUAUCGCGGAACAGCAGUGAUUUGUUCAAAUUCUGCUAUGGAGUAUCCAUUGAAGUGUACAAUCCUGUUUUGAACUUCUAUUGAACUCAAUAGAGCUUCGUUUCAAGUUAACCAAAGUACAAACUAAAGAUUCGACCAAAACAAAAGUACAGACAAAGGAGGGCGUAUGCGGAAGUUCUUACUUGGACUUAUGACAAAAGCGUGGCUCAGGCUAGCGUGAGCGAGCCUAGCAUAUCGUUCACCGUGCGCCAAUCAUUUUACAACUGUUGACAUGAACGGUCAAGAUUAAAAUACUCUUAUCUUUAUGUGUGCUCCCACAAUGCAGUUCACUCAGUUCAUCCUCAAGCAAAGGAUGUUUGACUCAAGGACCUAUCUGUUGUUGCACCCACUCCGUCGAUGACCAACAAAUUGAUCUCCAUAAUCCAAGACAAAAUCGAACAAAAACCAUAAAAGCGUGAUACCAAUCCUGAACAAAUCUAGAAGGCAUUUAAGGAUAUUAUAGUAUUCAGGCUAAACUCUUGGAUGAAUUCAACGCAUCAUUCUCAGCCUCCUUGUUUGAUUUAACUUGGUACUAGCAUAUUAAUCAACAACAAUUCCAUAAUAUACUGUGUUGGAGAUUUGGAGCCAAGAAUUUUGAGUUGUAAUCAUAAUUAAACGCAUUUGUCAUUAUUACUUGAGUGAGGUCUCUCAUCUAUAUGAUUGUAUAUCUAAUCAAAUACACAGUACACUGAAUGGAUGGGGUAGGUGUAGCGUAGCUUAGUAGAGGAAAUCAAACAUACAUAUCGAGCAAUCAUAAUAUUUUGUUUUCUACCCCUUUUUGGCUUUGAGUUUGAGCAAUCAAAAUAUCAGCACUUUUGUCCCCUUGCUGGAUAGCAAAAGGUCGUCACACUUGGAACUUUUGUUCUUUUGGAGAUAUAUGAACGACAGAAACUGAAAAUUUAAAAAGCUAUAGUAUUUUUGGCAAUGUGCCCUCCCUAUUAUUAUCCUCAACUGUACUUAAGAACAGUUUGAUACAGUCUUUCUAAUAUUUGAUGUAAGUUUGUAACCUUUUAAUCUACUGUAUGA
Long non-coding RNA from Medicago truncatula (barrel medic), 5110 nucleotides. RefSeq lists it as uncharacterized. Lineage: Eukaryota; Viridiplantae; Streptophyta; Magnoliopsida; Fabales; Fabaceae. The transcript is spliced from 3 exons. The record is from RefSeq and is a predicted model, not a curated record.